CCUACGGGUGGCAGCAGUGAGGAAUAUUGGUCAAUGGACGAGAGUCUGAACCAGCCAAGUAGCGUGAAGGAUGACUGCCCUAUGGGUUGUAAACUUCUUUUAUCUGGGAAUAAAUCGUUCCACGUGUGGGAUUUUGUAUGUACCCUAUGAAUAAGGCUCGGCUAACUCCGUGCCAGCAGCCGCGGUAAUAAGGCGGAACCGAGCGUUAUUCGGAUUUAUUGGGUUUAAAGGGAGCGUAGGGGGAUUGUUAAGUCCGUUGGGAAAGUUUGCGGCUCAACCGUAAAAGUGCAGUUGAAACUGGCAGUCUUGAGUACAGUAGAGGUGGGCGGAAUUCGUGGUGUAGCGGUGAAAUGCUUAGAUAUCACGAAGAACUCCGAUUGCGAAGGCAGUUCACUGGACUGCAACUGACACUGAGGCUCGAAAGUGUGGGUAUCAAACAGGAUUAGAUACCCCUGUAGUC
RNAcentral lists this ribosomal RNA (460 nucleotides) under uncultured bacterium. RNAcentral's name for it is "partial 16S ribosomal RNA". It matches the Rfam family "Bacterial small subunit ribosomal RNA", at positions 338 to 795 of the family's 1533-position model. The record is from RNAcentral.